Molecule: long non-coding RNA, 1841 nt
Filed under: Musa acuminata (dwarf banana)
Lineage: Eukaryota; Viridiplantae; Streptophyta; Magnoliopsida; Zingiberales; Musaceae
Description: long non-coding RNA (MACU_LNC011754)
Source: RNAcentral
AGGAAAAAAAAAAGACAUGUAGAAAACAAAACAGGGAGAGGACAUGGAGGAAAAGUAGAAGGAUUUGGGCUGACACCUUCUUUGGAUCUUCGGAUCAAAAUAUUUGAAAGGCAAGUUUCCCGAUCAUUCUCCUGUGUAAUUGUUCUAAUUUUUCUUAUUGCAAGUAUUAUGAUCUUCCUCGUGCAAGUGUUCUUAUCUUUCCUAUUGCAUUUCCUUUUGUAAGUGUUCCGAUCCUUCCUAUUGCAAGCUUUCUAAUCUUUCCUAUUGCAAGUGUCUUGAUCUUUCCUAACUAUAAUUUUAUCUCUACAUUUGCUUUGAAUAUGAGGAACUUUGAAUUGUUCUAGCCUUGCAUUUGAUAUAUCUCCUAUUUAGACAUAACGAUUCGAAUCUGUGCAACGUAUGAGAUUCUGACCUUUAGAUACUGAACUGCCUAUAAAUCCUGUUGAAAACUUUGAUUUAUUCAAAUCUUAUUACAUUUGAAACUAGACUCGUAGAUCUUUUUUUUUAUACCUGGAUUAAAAGAUUUAUAGUCCAAAUGUCUGCUCAGUUAUCUAUUAAAUCCGACCCUUUGGAUUAUGCAAAACAAUGAUUUUGUUUUCUGACCUUUGGUUACUAAAUCAAUUGUAACUCUUUGUUGGAAACUUCAAUUCAGACGAGACUUGUUUUAUCUGAAAAUAGAUUGAAAUAUCUUUCCACAAUAUAUUUCUGAGUAAAUUGGAGCACGAUUGAUAGUUUGAAUCAUUUGUUCAAUGUGCUUCUUGAAUUCUGCCAGAAAUCGAGGUUUGGUCGAUUUCGCAUAUUCUGGUUUCAUUCCGGUGGAAAUUGAUAUCCUUUGGCUUUUUUAAUUCAAUUGAGCUUUAUAUUACUGUUUUGAAUUCUUGUAUGCUCUUGUCCUACAUGUAUUUAGAUACCUAAAUCUGUUAUGUAAACUUCUUGUUUGUAUCGUAAUAUUUCAUAUAGACACAUGCAUUCCGUUGUUCUGCAUGUGUUUCCGAUAUGUCCCAAUUUAUUUUUCAUAAUACCCUUUUGUACUCUGGUGUUUGUGGGAUUAUUUGGACCUUUGCCAGAAAUGGUAAAGAGUAUGUGCUUAGAGCCUGCGAUGUUCUAGAUUAUGUUUGGUGGUCAUUCAGAAAUGGAUGGACCAUAUUAUGUUUGGAAUCCCACUUCACCAUCUAUCUGUUUGAUAUGAAAUUCAGAGCCGACCUAGCACUUGCGCAAGGUGAGAGGGCUCGAGUAGGAAAGGGCUACCCGUGGAUGGAGUCGAGAACUCAUCAUGGCGUGGAGCCACCACUGAGUUAAACCUCACAUGCACUAUGAUAGGGUACGACGUCUGAGCUUCUGUUUCGUAUUUUGUAUUGAUAUGCUCCAAAAUGUUUCCUAUGCCAUUGAUAUACUUCAAAAUGCUUCACAUACCAUUGAUAUGUUCCGAAAUAUUUCAUUUGUCAUUGAUAUGCUCCGGAACAUCUCGUACGCUAUUGAUAUGCUCCAAUUACUCUAUGCUCCAUUUGUUCUGAACCAAAUAUAUUAUGAAUGAAAUGACAUUUGCGAUUCUAUAUCUAAUGAGAUGAUAUCCUUGAAUCUCUUGGAUUCUGUCUUGCAUUGUGAUAUCUUGUUUGUUUGAAACUGUCCCUUCUCUUGCUAUAUAUGCUUUGUUACUUGCUGAGCUGUUUUUAGCUCACUCCGUUGUUAUAUAAAUCUUUCAGGUCAGCUUGUCACUCUUUGAGAUGUUUGAAUUGGGCUGAGGCAGUGGAGAGCUAUUCUGAAUUAUGGGCAAGUCUUGUUGGUUAUUAUGUUAUUGUUGUAUAAGCAUAUUUUGUAUGUAAUGAAAUUUUGUCGAUGAA